GGAAGGAGAGAGAAUGAAAGAAAAGUUCCAUGAAUAAAAUAAAACCUGGCAACAUGGUAAUGAGUGGAGGAGAAUGGGCAAGCUAUUCUAGCAGGAUUGGCCAGGGAAAUCCUCUCUGAGAAGUGGUAAGUUGAGAGUUGGAUAAUGAGAAAAUUAUGUGGAUUAAGAGAAACAAAAACAAAACCCCCAAACAAGACCUAGAAUAAUCACUGAUGAAGGAGAGUGAUAAGAUUCAUCAUGAAGACACUUAGAGCAAAAAGGACUUAUUCCAUCUGCAAGUCUAACUCACUCAUUUCCUUUUCCAAAAGGAAACUGAAGCCCAGAGAGGUAAAGAGACUUACCUAAGGCCACUCAGAUAAUUAAUAACAUAGUUGGCAAGAGACUUUUAAGCUCCUGACUUCCAACUCUACUCCCUACCGGGUUUACCUUUUCUGGAUAUUUCAUAUAAAUGGAAUCACACAAUACAUUAGGAUUAGGUUGAGCAUCCCUCAUCUGAAAAUCCAAAAUCCAAGAUGCUCCAAAAUUCGAAACGUUUGAGCACCAAUGUGACACACAAGUGGAAAAUCCCAUACCUGAUGUCAUUCACGUGACGGGUCAAAGUCAAAAUGCGAGCAUACAACGCACAGUUUGUUUGGUGUUCCCAAGGAGAAAAAGAGCCUCCGAGCCCUCUUCAGUUGCAACAGGUCACAUCUGUGCACGGCCCAUUGCCCCCACAAGACAGCACGAAGGGCAGUGAAAUGGCAGGUGUGUGGGCCGAUGCACUAACCACAGGCUCCCCACCAAGCCCCACAGGGAGCCGAGACCUCUGUGCAUUACUCACCGGGUAUUCUGCUUGUUCUCUGCUCUGUGGUGUAAAGAUACUGUUGUUGGACAUGGCAAAAAGGCCUACGGAUAUCCGCAUGGGUAACAGUGAUAAGAUAAAGAAGAAAAAUAGGAAACUUUUUUGAUAAUCUACAGCACAGAAAAUCAAACUGUUGGAGAAACGGGACAGCAGUGUGAGUGUGAAACAUUUUGCAGAAGGGCAUGGGGUUAGAAUGACCACUAUGUAUGACUUGAAGA
Non-coding RNA from Microcebus murinus (gray mouse lemur), 1059 nucleotides. Lineage: Eukaryota; Metazoa; Chordata; Mammalia; Primates; Cheirogaleidae. The record is from RefSeq and is a predicted model, not a curated record.